UUCCCUACGGGGGGCAGCAGUGGGGAAUAUUGCACAAUGGGGGAAACCCUGAUGCAGCGACGCCGCGUGGGCGACGAAGCGCUCCGGCGCGUAAAGCCCUGUCAGCAGGGAAGAAAAAAGACAGUACCUGACCAAGAAGCCCCGGCUAACUACGUGCCAGCAGCCGCGGUAAUACGUAGGGGGCAAGCGUUAUCCGGAUUUACUGGGUGUAAAGGGAGCGUAGACGGCAGCGCAAGUCUGGAGUGAAAUGCCGGGGCUCAACCCCGGAACUGCUUUGGAAACUGUGCAGCUAG
Molecule: ribosomal RNA, 293 nt
Filed under: uncultured bacterium
Lineage: Bacteria
Description: partial 16S ribosomal RNA
Rfam family: Bacterial small subunit ribosomal RNA
Source: RNAcentral